AAAAUGCAAGGUACCGUGGGACAUGACGACCCGGCACGUAUCUAGACUUCGGAGGCCAAGGGAGGCUUUCUGUGAAGGAAGCGGUGUGUUAGCUGAGAAUAGGGCAAAGCAGAGGGGAAAGGACAAAGGCUGGGCUGGGAGGGGAUGCAGGGUGCUUCCCCUGUUGUGCUGGAGUGUCUGAAGGGUCUGUUUGAGGAACCGAAAGGAGCUCGGCCCAGGCCGGCAGGCAGGAUGCAAGAGGCUGGAGGUGCGCAGGGGAGAGAGGAGGCUGAGGCCAGGAAGGAGCGCGGUCAGAAAGGGCUUUGUCCGUAGUGCUGAGGAGUGUGGGCCUUAUGGCAAAGCCACCGGGCCGCCGCUGCCGGGCUUUGAUGAAAGCAGAAACGAGUGCCACAAGCGGGCAAGUAAAACUACAAUGUCUCACACGAGAACUGUUGAUCUCGGAGGAAAGAAAGACACCCUCAAGACUGAACCACACUGCAUCAGUGCCAUCUGGCCUCACAUGCAGUGCUUCUCAACGCUGUCAGGAGUGCCCUUCCACGAGACACAGAGUGCCCGGAGAUACCAAAAAUAGUUCUCAUCAAGUCAUCGGGCCAAAUGGACAUUCCGGGAGCCAGCCCCGUGUUUAUGCUAUAGUUUCAGAAGUCCCGGACACGGCCCUCCACACCCCAUUGUGUCAGAAGCAGUCUGAAUGAAGGACCGAAAGGGGGACAGGGACAUGUGGAGAGCACACAGCCAAUGCAAGAUCUCCGGCGUCCAUAGCCUGGUAUCACAGUGACUAAACACACCCCUUCCUGAACACUCCUCCCCAGAGCCCGGCCCUGGAGAGCCCCCCACCAUCUGUGCAGUCCACCCCCUUCAUCAAAGCCCCCCCAGCCUUGCUCCGCUCCCACCCCAAGAUCCACACUAGCUUCUAAAAUGAGUUUGUGCCUCCGCUAGCCUUCAUCAUACACGUAUUUUUAUACACGUAACUGCGCCGGGUGAUGUCUCCCCCUCCACAUCUCAAACUUCACGAGCAAAGAGCCACGUUUCUUAUCUCCGCUGCCUAUUCAGUGCUGUAGCCACAAUGUGUGCCAAAUAAAGUUUUAUUGCACUGAA
Neofelis nebulosa (Clouded leopard) is the source of this 1095-nucleotide long non-coding RNA. RefSeq lists it as uncharacterized. The transcript has 2 exons. The record is from RefSeq and is a predicted model, not a curated record. NCBI's taxonomy places the organism in Eukaryota, Metazoa, Chordata, Mammalia, Carnivora, Felidae.